RNAcentral lists this transfer RNA (72 nucleotides) under Pangasianodon gigas (Mekong giant catfish). RNAcentral describes it as "tRNA-Thr". It matches the Rfam family "tRNA". Rfam says of the family: Transfer RNA (tRNA) molecules are approximately 80 nucleotides in length. RNAcentral also lists the same sequence under 7 other names. Lineage: Eukaryota; Metazoa; Chordata; Actinopteri; Siluriformes; Pangasiidae. The record is from RNAcentral.
GCCCUAGUAGCUUAGCCACAAAGCGCCGGUCUUGUAAUCCGGAGAUCGAAGGUUAAAAUCCUUCCUAGUGCC